ACUUCAUUGUAGUCAAUCCCCU
RNAcentral lists this non-coding RNA (22 nucleotides) under Gossypium hirsutum (cotton). The record is from RNAcentral. Lineage: Eukaryota; Viridiplantae; Streptophyta; Magnoliopsida; Malvales; Malvaceae.